UUCAGAUAUCAGUGAAAAGUCACAGGACAGUUCAAGAUCCAUCCUUCUGUGGCCACAAAAAUCAUAAAAGAAUCGCCCCAAAUGGAUUCUUUUCCAGUUACUGCUUUAGAAGCUUUUCUCGUGUUAUACUCUCCAGCCCGUGGGAAAAAUAAUAACACAUCUAUUGGAUUUUUUUCAUCAUGUUUACUUAAAGAGUGUGGCCGCAUAUGAUCCAGUCCUAUGGUGUGGGAUUUAAUGGGUAAGUGUCUUUGCAGGAACAAUUACUGAAUUCAUUUUCUGUUCUUCCUGUGGAAAAGCUGGGACUACUCUGUAAGAAAUGGAGUACGAACUAUGCUUCAAAUUGCAGUGUGUAACAGAAGAAUUUCUUGAG
Molecule: long non-coding RNA, 370 nt
Filed under: Gallus gallus (chicken)
Lineage: Eukaryota; Metazoa; Chordata; Aves; Galliformes; Phasianidae
Description: lncRNA (ENSGALG00010004617.1)
Source: RNAcentral